GAUUGAACGCUGGCGGCAGGCUUAACACAUGCAAGUCGAGCGGGGGAAGGUAGCUUGCUACUGGACCUAGCGGCGGACGGGUGAGUAAUGCUUAGGAAUCUGCCUAUUAGUGGGGGACAACAUCUCGAAAGGGAUGCUAAUACCGCAUACGUCCUACGGGAGAAAGCAGGGGAUCUUCGGACCUUGCGCUAAUAGAUGAGCCUAAGUCGGAUUAGCUAGUUGGUGGGGUAAAGGCCUACCAAGGCGACGAUCUGUAGCGGGUCUGAGAGGAUGAUCCGCCACACUGGGACUGAGACACGGCCCAGACUCCUACGGGAGGCAGCAGUGGGGAAUAUUGGACAAUGGGGGGAACCCUGAUCCAGCCAUGCCGCGUGUGUGAAGAAGGCCUUAUGGUUGUAAAGCACUUUAAGCGAGGAGGAGGCUACUUUAGUUAAUACCUAGAGAUAGUGGACGUUACUCGCAGAAUAAGCACCGGCUAACUCUGUGCCAGCAGCCGCGGUAAUACAGAGGGUGCGAGCGUUAAUCGGAUUUACUGGGCGUAAAGCGUGCGUAGGCGGCUUAUUAAGUCGGAUGUGAAAUCCCCGAGCUUAACUUGGGAAUUGCAUUCGAUACUGGUGAGCUAGAGUAUGGGAGAGGAUGGUAGAAUUCCAGGUGUAGCGGUGAAAUGCGUAGAGAUCUGGAGGAAUACCGAUGGCGAAGGCAGCCAUCUGGCCUAAUACUGACGCUGAGGUACGAAAGCAUGGGGAGCAAACAGGAUUAGAUACCCUGGUAGUCCAUGCCGUAAACGAUGUCUACUAGCCGUUGGGGCCUUUGAGGCUUUAGUGGCGCAGCUUACGCGAUAAGUAGACCGCCUGGGGAGUCCGGUCUCAAGACUAAAACUCAAAUGAAUCGUCGGGGGCCCGCACAAGCGGUGGAGCAUGUGGUUUAAUUCGAUGCAACGCGAAGAACCUUACCUGGCCGUGACAUACUAGAAACUUUCCAGAGAUGGAUUGGUGCCUUCGGGAAUCUAGAUACAGGUGCUGCAUGGCUGUCGUCAGCUCGUGUCGUGAGAAGUUGGGUUAAGUCCCGCAACGAGCGCAACCCUUUUCCUUAGUUGCCAGCAUUUCGGAUGGGAACUUUAAGGAUACUGCCAGUGACAAACUGGAGGAAGGCGGGGACGACGUCAAGUCAUCAUGGGCGUUACGGCCAGGGCUACACACGUGCUACAAUGGUCGGUACAAAGGGCUGCUACACAGCGAUGUGAUGCUAAUCUCAAAAAGCCGAUCGUAGUCCAGAGUGGAGUCUGCAACUCGACUCCAUGAAGUCGGAAUCGCUAGUAAUCGCGGACUCAGAAUGCCGCGGUGAAUACGUUCCCUGGGCAGUUGUACACACCGCCCGUCACCCCAUGGGAGUUUGUUGCACCAGAAGUAGCUCUCCUACCUGCAAAGAGGCCGGUUUCACGCUGUGCCCGAUGACUGGUGUGA
RNAcentral lists this ribosomal RNA (1463 nucleotides) under uncultured bacterium. RNAcentral describes it as "bacterial SSU rRNA". It matches the Rfam family "Bacterial small subunit ribosomal RNA". The record is from RNAcentral.